AGCGAACGCUGGCGGCAGGCUUAACACAUGCAAGUCGAACGGGCGUAGCAAUACGUCAGUGGCAGACGGGUGAGUAACGCGUGGGAACGUACCUUUUGGUUCGGAACAACCCAGGGAAACUUGGGCUAAUACCGGAUAAGCCCUUACGGGGAAAGAUUUAUCGCCGAAAGAUCGGCCCGCGUCUGAUUAGCUAGUUGGUGAGGUAACGGCUCACCAAGGCGACGAUCAGUAGCUGGUCUGAGAGGAUGAUCAGCCACAUUGGGACUGAGACACGGCCCAAACUCCUACGGGAGGCAGCAGUGGGG
Molecule: ribosomal RNA, 305 nt
Filed under: uncultured bacterium
Lineage: Bacteria
Description: bacterial SSU rRNA
Rfam family: Bacterial small subunit ribosomal RNA
Source: RNAcentral